AGACCCGAAACCCGGUGAUCUAGCCAUGGGCAGGUUGAAGGUUGGGUAACACUAACUGGAGGACCGAACCGACUAAUGUUGAAAAAUUAGCGGAUGACCUGUGGCUGGGGGUGAAAGGCCAAUCAAACCGGGAGAUAGCUGGUUCUCCCCGAAAGCUAUUUAGGUAGCGCCUCGUGAAUUCAUCUCCGGGGGUAGAGCACUGUUUCGGCUAGGGGGCCAUCCCGGCUUACCAACCCGAUGCAAACUGCGAAUACCGGAGAAUGUUAUCACGGGAGACACACGGCGGGUGCUAACGUCCGUCGUGAAGAGGGAAACAACCCAGACCGCCAGCUAAGGUCCCAAAGUCAUGGUUAAGUGGGAAACGAUGUGGGAAGGCCCAGACAGCCAGGAUGUUGGCUUAGAAGCAGCCAUCAUUUAAAGAAAGCGUAAUAGCUCACUGGUCGAGUCGGCCUGCGCGGAAGAUGUAACGGGGCUAAACCAUGCACCGAAGCUGCGGCAGCGACGCUGAUGCGUUGUUGGGUAGGGGAGCGUUCUGUAAGCCUGCGAAGGUGGCCUGUGAGGGUUGCUGGAGGUAUCAGAAGUGCGAAUGCUGACAUAAGUAACGAUAAAGCGGGUGAAAAGCCCGCUCGCCGGAAGACCAAGGGUUCCUGUCCAACGUUAAUCGGGGCAGGGU
This 673-nucleotide ribosomal RNA is filed under the name Salmonella enterica. RNAcentral's name for it is "partial 23S ribosomal RNA". It matches the Rfam family "Bacterial large subunit ribosomal RNA", at positions 711 to 1380 of the family's 2925-position model. Lineage: Bacteria; Pseudomonadati; Pseudomonadota; Gammaproteobacteria; Enterobacterales; Enterobacteriaceae. The record is from RNAcentral. RNAcentral also lists the same sequence under 1 other name.